Molecule: non-coding RNA, 232 nt
Filed under: Halalkalibacter wakoensis
Lineage: Bacteria; Bacillati; Bacillota; Bacilli; Caryophanales; Bacillaceae
Description: Bacillus wakoensis T-box sequence
Rfam family: T-box leader
About the family: Uncharged tRNA acts as the effector for transcription antitermination of genes in the T-box leader family.
Source: RNAcentral
UGAAUUGCCUUGAAUAGGAAGAGUAGAAUCCGAACCUUUCAGAGAGAGAGAUCAGUAGCUGAGAGAUUUCUUAAGAUGUACGAUUUGAAUGUCGCCUAGGAGCAGCUGUUUUGAGAUGUCUAAUGACAUGUAAGAAUAGCCGGACACUGACCGUUAUCAGUUUGAGUGUGUAGUACAGAUUUCUGUGCUGCAAACAAAGGUGGUACCGCGAGUAACUCUCUUCGUCCUUUGG